AAACAAACUCUCAACAACGGAUAUCUUGGCUCUC
RNAcentral lists this ribosomal RNA (34 nucleotides) under uncultured organism. Its description in RNAcentral is "partial 5.8S ribosomal RNA". The record is from RNAcentral.